RNAcentral lists this ribosomal RNA (1499 nucleotides) under metagenome. Its description in RNAcentral is "bacterial SSU rRNA". It matches the Rfam family "Bacterial small subunit ribosomal RNA". The record is from RNAcentral.
AGAGUUUGAUCAUGGCUCAGAUUGAACGCUGGCGGCAGGCCUAACACAUGCAAGUCGAACGGUAACAGGAAGCAGCUUGCUGCUUCGCUGACGAGUGGCGGACGGGUGAGUAAUGUCUGGGAAGCUGCCUGAUGGAGGGGGAUAACUACUGGAAACGGUAGCUAAUACCGCAUAAUGUCGCAAGACCAAAGAGGGGGACCUUCGGGCCUCUUGCCAUCGGAUGUGCCCAGAUGGGAUUAGCUUGUUGGUGGGGUAACGGCUCACCAAGGCGACGAUCCCUAGCUGGUCUGAGAGGAUGACCAGCCACACUGGAACUGAGACACGGUCCAGACUCCUACGGGAGGCAGCAGUGGGGAAUAUUGCACAAUGGGCGCAAGCCUGAUGCAGCCAUGCCGCGUGUAUGAAGAAGGCCUUCGGGUUGUAAAGUACUUUCAGCGGGGAGGAAGGGAGUAAAGUUAAUACCUUUGCUCAUUGACGUUACCCGCAGAAGAAGCACCGGCUAACUCCGUGCCAGCAGCCGCGGUAAUACGGAGGGUGCAAGCGUUAAUCGGAAUUACUGGGCGUAAAGCGCACGCAGGCGGUUUGUUAAGUCAGAUGUGAAAUCCCCGGGCUCAACCUGGGAACUGCAUCUGAUACUGGCAAGCUUGAGUCUCGUAGAGGGGGGUAGAAUUCCAGGUGUAGCGGUGAAAUGCGUAGAGAUCUGGAGGAAUACCGGUGGCGAAGGCGGCCCCCUGGACGAAGACUGACGCUCAGGUGCGAAAGCGUGGGGAGCAAACGGGAUUAGAUACCCUGGUAGUCCACGCCGUAAACGAUGUCGACUUGGAGGUUGUGCCCUUGAGGCGUGGCUUCCGGAGCUAACGCGUUAAGUCGACCGCCUGGGGAGUACGGCCGCAAGGUUAAAACUCAAAUGAAUUGACGGGGGCCCGCACAAGCGGUGGAGCAUGUGGUUUAAUUCGAUGCAACGCGAAGAACCUUACCUGGUCUUGACAUCCACGGAAGUUUUCAGAGAUGAGAAUGUGCCUUCGGGAACCGUGAGACAGGUGCUGCAUGGCUGUCGUCAGCUCGUGUUGUGAAAUGUUGGGUUAAGUCCCGCAACGAGCGCAACCCUUAUCCUUUGUUGCCAGCGGUCCGGCCGGGAACUCAAAGGAGACUGCCAGUGAUAAACUGGAGGAAGGUGGGGAUGACGUCAAGUCAUCAUGGCCCUUACGACCAGGGCUACACACGUGCUACAAUGGCGCAUACAAAGAGAAGCGACCUCGCGAGAGCAAGCGGACCUCAUAAAGUGCGUCGUAGUCCGGAUUGGAGUCUGCAACUCGACUCCAUGAAGUCGGAAUCGCUAGUAAUCGUGGAUCAGAAUGCCACGGUGAAUACGUUCCCGGGCCUUGUACACACCGCCCGUCACACCAUGGGAGUGGGUUGCAAAAGAAGUAGGUAGCUUAACCUUCGGGAGGGCGCUUACCACUUUGUGAUUCAUGACUGGGGUGAAGUCGAACAAGGUA